This 88-nucleotide transfer RNA is filed under the name Halieaceae bacterium. RNAcentral describes it as "tRNA-Ser". It matches the Rfam family "tRNA". From Rfam's summary of the family: Transfer RNA (tRNA) molecules are approximately 80 nucleotides in length. The record is from RNAcentral. Lineage: Bacteria; Pseudomonadati; Pseudomonadota; Gammaproteobacteria; Cellvibrionales; Halieaceae.
GGUGGGCUGGCUGAGUGGUCGAAAGCGGCGGUCUUGAAAACCGUUGAACCGUAAGGUUCCCGGGGUUCGAAUCCCUGGCCCACCGCCA